RNAcentral lists this ribosomal RNA (382 nucleotides) under uncultured eukaryote. RNAcentral describes it as "partial 18S ribosomal RNA". It matches the Rfam family "Eukaryotic small subunit ribosomal RNA", at positions 592 to 976 of the family's 1831-position model. The record is from RNAcentral.
UGUAAGCGUAUACCAAAGUUGUUGCAGUUAAAACGCUCGUAGUCGGAAUUUGGCAGUUCCGGAUGUGUGCACGUCGUGUGCGCACUUCGCGGGGAUUGCUUUUGUGGUCUUGCGUAGGAUGAGGCACUUUUAUUAGUGAACGUCCUCACGCAACCACUUUUUACUGUGAGAAAAUCAGAGUGCUCAAAGCAGGCAUUUGCCGUGAAUGUAUUAGCAUGGAAUAAUAGAAUAGGACUUGGUUCUAUUUUGUUGGUUUGUUGGGACUGAGUAAUGAUUAAGAGGGACAGUUGGGGGCAUUUGUAUUUCGGUGCUAGAGGUGAAAUUCUUAGAUUACCGAAAGACAAACUGCUGCGAAAGCGUUUGCCAAGGAUGUUUUCAUUGA